RNAcentral lists this small RNA (137 nucleotides) under pig gut metagenome. RNAcentral describes it as "HNH endonuclease-associated RNA and ORF (HEARO) RNA". It matches the Rfam family "HNH endonuclease-associated RNA and ORF (HEARO) RNA", at positions 1 to 124 of the family's 211-position model. The record is from RNAcentral.
GUCAACUACCCGGGCUUAAAAGCCCAGGCUUGAGGGAAUAGCCCUCUUGCCUAGUUGAUUAGCCUAAGUGCUUUGAGUACUACGUUACAUAGUAAAUAUACUAUAGGCACCCCGGGAUGCCCCACAAGUCCCAGGCA